ACGCGUAUGAAAGUCAAGCUGAAAGACUUUACUUAAUGAUGUAAGUGGUGGUGCAUGGUCGUUCUUAGUUCGUGGAUUGAUUCGUCUGGUCGAUUCCGAUAACGAGCGAGACCCCGGUGUUCCUAAUAGGGGCGUUAGCCCGCUGGGCCUUAACGGGCUUGGCAGCUUCCGCUUAAGAUUAACUUCUUAGACACAUCAGGGCCGAUAAGGUCCUUGAAAUGGGUUAAUAACAGGUCAGUCAUGCCCUUAGAUGUUCUGGGCCGCACGCGCGUUACAAUGGCAUGAAUAAAAAGUGCUAUUAAAAGGCGUUUACCGGGCCUAACGGUCUGGGUAACCCUUAAUCCCUGCUUUGACUGGGAUAGAUUUUUGCAAUUAUUGGUCUCUAACGAGGAAUUUUUAGUCAGCGCAGGUCAUUAACCUGCGUUGA
Molecule: ribosomal RNA, 427 nt
Filed under: Physarum mortonii
Lineage: Eukaryota; Evosea; Eumycetozoa; Physariida; Physaraceae
Description: SSU rRNA
Rfam family: Eukaryotic small subunit ribosomal RNA
Source: RNAcentral